This 1080-nucleotide ribosomal RNA is filed under the name Pratylenchus alleni. RNAcentral's name for it is "eukaryotic LSU rRNA". The stretch from base 1 to 187 matches the Rfam family "Eukaryotic small subunit ribosomal RNA", at positions 1647 to 1831 of the family's 1831-position model. Lineage: Eukaryota; Metazoa; Nematoda; Chromadorea; Rhabditida; Pratylenchidae. The record is from RNAcentral.
ACGUCCCUGCCCUUUGUACACACCGCCCGUCGCUGCCCGGGACUGAGCCAUUUCGAGAAACUUGGGGACCGCUGAUUUGUAGGCUCUCGGGCCUGCUUAUUGGUGGGAACCAAUUUAAUCGCAGUGGCUUGAACCGGGCAAAAGUCGUAACAAGGUAGCUGUAGGUGAACCCGCUGCUGGAUCAUUACAUCACACCAAUGUAUGGUCAAACUUGUUAGUGUUGUUGUGAGCACUCCUCAGUGAUGUGAGCAAUGAGUUUGUUAGUGAGUGCGAGUCGUAUUUGCUCAGAUGUGUGUGUCGGCUUAUACGGCGGCUAUCCGCUUAACCACUACGUAUAGUGGUUCCACCAAGUGUCAGUGGUGGCUCUUGCCAAGGAGCGGUCAAGAAAACGGCUAACGCUGGUGUCUAUGUGUUGCUGAGCAGUCGUAUUCGUCCGUGGCUGUGAUGAGGCAAUGCGGUAGGGCCUGUAUACGGUGUGUGUAUGCAUGGCUUAAGACUUGAUGAGCCCAUUUACAGUGUGUGGGACGCCAGCAAACCCUUUUUUCCAUUUUUUUUUAUGACAAGUAUGAAAAAUUCUAGUCUUAUCGGUGGAUCACUCGGCUCGUGGGUCGAUGAAGAACGCAGCUAACUGCGAUGAAUAGUGUGAACUGCAGAAACCUUGAACACAAAAGCUUCGAAUGCACAUUGCACCAUGGGAGUCUUAUCCCUUGGUACGCCUGGUUCAGGGUCGUAAACCCUAAAACGCAUUCAAAUGCGUAUCGAAUGUGAUAGCAUCACUUGAUGUGUGCGUGAAAGUGUUGCUUUAAUUCAUUGUUGCGCGCAGUACUCGGUGUAAUGCGGGAUGGGCAUCGACUUAGUAUUUGGGAAUACUAAACAUAGUCUGGUGUUCAUCGAGCUGGUUCUCUUGAAUCGCAUUAAGCCAGACCAUGUGUGGGACGUUGUGUGCAACUUUGAUGAGUGUGUGAGCUACACUCGCUUUGUCGAUUUUUCGACCUGAACUCAGACGUGAAUACCCGCCGAACUUAAGCAUAUCAGUAAGCGGAGGAAAAGAAACUAACAAGGAUUCCCUUAGUAACGGCG